UACGUAGGCAGCAAGCGUUGUUCGGAGUUACUGGGCGUAAAGAGUGUGUAGGCGGUCGUCCAAGUUUGGUGUGAAAUCUCCCGGCUUAACUGGGAGGGUGCGCCGAAAACUGGAUAACUGGAGUAUGGGAGAGGAAGGCGGAAUUCCUGGUGUAGCGGUGAAAUGCGUAGAUAUCAGGAGGAACACCUGCGGUGUAGACGGCUUUCUGGACCAUGACUGACGCUGAGACACGAAAGCGUGGGGAGCAAACAGG
Molecule: ribosomal RNA, 253 nt
Filed under: uncultured bacterium
Lineage: Bacteria
Description: partial 16S ribosomal RNA
Rfam family: Bacterial small subunit ribosomal RNA
Source: RNAcentral